This 18-nucleotide unclassified non-coding RNA is filed under the name Chlamydomonas reinhardtii. RNAcentral's name for it is "small RNA Cre_1484". Lineage: Eukaryota; Viridiplantae; Chlorophyta; Chlorophyceae; Chlamydomonadales; Chlamydomonadaceae. The record is from RNAcentral.
CUGCUCCGCGGUGGGCCG